GAUGAACGCUGGCGGCGUGCUUAACACAUGCAAGUCGAACGGAAAGGCCCAAGCUUGCUUGGGUACUCGGGUGGCGAACGGGUGAGUAACACGUGGGUGAUCUGCCCUGCACUUCGGGAUAAGCCUGGGAAACUGGGUCUAAUACCGGAUAGGACCACAUUUUGGAUGGUGUGGUGGAAAGUUUUUCGGUGUGGGAUGAGCUCGCGGCCUAUCAGCUUGUUGGUGGGGUAAUGGCCUACCAAGGCGUCGACGGGUAGCCGGCCUGAGAGGGUGUACGGCCACAUUGGGACUGAGAUACGGCCCAGACUCCUACGGGAGGCAGCAGUGGGGAAGAUUGCACAAUGGGCGCAAGCCUGAUGCAGCGACGCCGCGUGGGGGAUGACGGCCUUCGGGUUGUAAACUCCUUUCGCUAGGGACGAAGCGUUAUGUGACGGUACCUGGAGAAGAAGCACCGGCUAACUACGUG
This 466-nucleotide ribosomal RNA is filed under the name uncultured bacterium. RNAcentral's name for it is "partial 16S ribosomal RNA". It matches the Rfam family "Bacterial small subunit ribosomal RNA", at positions 28 to 507 of the family's 1533-position model. The record is from RNAcentral.